Molecule: ribosomal RNA, 253 nt
Filed under: uncultured bacterium
Lineage: Bacteria
Description: partial 16S ribosomal RNA
Rfam family: Bacterial small subunit ribosomal RNA
Source: RNAcentral
UACAGAGGGUGCUAGCGUUGUUCGGAAUCAUUGGGCGUAAAGGGCGUGUAGGCGGUUUGUUAAGUCAUGUGUGAAAUCCCUCGGCUCAACCGGGGAACGACGCAUGAAACUGGCAAGCUAGAGUACCAAAGAGGGGGGUGGAAUUCCCGGUGUAGCGGUGAAAUGCGUAGAUAUCUGGAGGAAUACCGGUGGCGAAGGCGGCAUCCUGGACCGAGAUUGACACUGAUGAGCGAAAGCUAGGGGAGCAAACGGG